GACGAACGCUGGCGGCGCGCCAAAUGCAUGCAAGUCGAGCGACGCAUGCUCGGUGGGUAACCACUGGGUAUGACGGAGCGGCGAACGGGUGAGUAACACGUGAGUAACCUGCCCCGAAGAUCGGGAUAGCCCGGGGAAACCCGGAUUAAUACCGAAUACCCUCUCUGGAUCGCAUGGUCCGGUGAGGAAAUGCCUUUGUGCUUCGGGAUGGACUCGCGGCCUAUCAGCUAGUUGGUGAGGUAACGGCUCACCAAGGCAACGACGGGUAGCUGGUCUGAGAGGACGAUCAGCCACACUGGGACUGAGACACGGCCCAGACUCCUACGGGAGGCAGCAGCAGGGAAUCUUGUCCAAUGGGCGCAAGCCUGAGACAGCGACGCCGCGUGAGGGAUGAAGGCCUUCGGGUUGUAAACCUCUUUCAGGAGGGACGAAAUUGACGGUACCUCCAGAAGAAGCCCCGGCCAACUACGUG
RNAcentral lists this ribosomal RNA (472 nucleotides) under uncultured bacterium. RNAcentral's name for it is "bacterial SSU rRNA". It matches the Rfam family "Bacterial small subunit ribosomal RNA", at positions 28 to 507 of the family's 1533-position model. The record is from RNAcentral.